UCUUGAUGAAGUUAUCACAGGUUAUUGAUGAGAUGGUUACUCACCGUGUUCUCCUGUGUUUCCAUCCUGUGAGCUGUGGCAGAACAAGGAGAGCAGGAUGAAUGGGAUCAUGAUAUUCCUGGACACAGACUCAGAUUUCAAACAGAACAGAAAACAUCUGCUCAUCCAGCUGUGUCUUCGUGAAAGUCCACUUCCUGAGAGAUAGAGAAAAGCCAGUCACAGGGAAUCUGCUGCUGUGGAUCUCACACAGAAACAAGAAGUCACGUUACUUCCUCUAACAACACUCCCCUUCCUAAGAACUCGACUCUGGGCUAAUGAUGAGUCACUGCAAGUUUGGACAUGUAUGUUUAACUUGGAAAUGGAUUCACAAGAACGUCUUUCAGAUUCUCAGUGUGCUCCUCCUCCCGUCCUCAUGUUCACUCCUGAGGGAGCGACAGAGAAACAUCAGGAUCUGUGCAGCUUCUUCAAGACGUUCCUCAGUCACACGUUCCUAACUCAAAGCAUCAGAUGUUUUCUCCUCCUGCUCCUCAGCCUGGAGCCGCGAUGGGAAUCUUCUAGUACCAGAGCCUCCUGGCAGGCUGAAGCUGUGGACUCAUACCGGACCUCCUCAGGAGGUGAGGAGGAGAGGAGGAGAGGAGGAGUCAGCCUGAAGCUGUGGACUCAUACCGGACCUCCUCAGGAGUGCGUAUACAUGUCUCCGAUGGAACUGCAGUGGUGAAGAGGACGUGUCCACUGGGGAGAGGAGCUGGACGCUCAGAGCUCACAACAAGCUGGGGACGGUGGAACUGACGGACACAGCAGACCUGAUGACAAGAGUUCACAUGUGUCCUCCAGAGUCAGUGACAGCUUCCACUGUGAAUCCCAGAGACGCCCGUCUGAAGUGGAGCUGGAAGGUUCAAGCCUACAAAGAUCUGAACGUCACGUGUGAGGUGAACCUCGGUCCCGCUGGAGCUCAGAAAACAAACUCUGGAGUCGGACUUGAUUCGGCAGUUUUGAUGAACCUGAUUCCAAACUGGUCGUACCACGUGACAGUUCGAUGUCGCACAGCUCAACAUUCUUGGAAAUGGAGCAACUGGAGCUCGACAUUCAACUUCCACACUAACAUCUGAUGAUUAACAGUUCUUUGAAAGUAGAAGAUACUUCAGGCACAACUUUGUGAAAGAGCAACAUUAAAUCAGUAAAAGUUCACAAGCUGUAAAACAAAA
Pleuronectes platessa (European plaice) is the source of this 1205-nucleotide long non-coding RNA. RefSeq lists it as uncharacterized. The transcript is spliced from 4 exons. Lineage: Eukaryota; Metazoa; Chordata; Actinopteri; Pleuronectiformes; Pleuronectidae. The record is from RefSeq and is a predicted model, not a curated record.